GUGGGGAAUAUUGGACAAUGGGCGCAAGCCUGAUCCAGCAAUGCCGCGUGGAUGAAGAAGGUCUUCGGAUUGUAAAGUCCUUUCGGCGGGGACGAUGAUGACGGUACCCGCAGAAGAAGCCCCGGCUAACUUCGUGCCAGCAGCCGCGGUAAUACGAAGGGGGCUAGCGUUGCUCGGAAUGACUGGGCGUAAAGGGCGCGUAGGCGGACAUAUUAGUCAGGCGUGAAAUUCCCGGGCUUAACCUGGGGGCUGCGUUUGAUACGGUGUGUCUAGAGUUUGGAAGAGGGUCGUGGAAUUCCCAGUGUAGAGGUGAAAUUCGUAGAUAUUGGGAAGAACACCGGUGGCGAAGGCGGCGACCUGGUCCUUGACUGACGCUGAGGCGCGAAAGCGUGGGGAGCAAACAGGAUUAGAUACCCUGGUAGUCCACGCUGUAAACGAUGUGCGCUGGAUGUUGGGCAGCCUAGCUGCUCAGUGUCGUAGCUAACGCGAUAAGCGCACCGCCUGGGGAGUACGGCCGCAAGGU
Molecule: ribosomal RNA, 523 nt
Filed under: uncultured bacterium
Lineage: Bacteria
Description: bacterial SSU rRNA
Rfam family: Bacterial small subunit ribosomal RNA
Source: RNAcentral